UGAAUAUGAGGUUUUGCCCAAGUAACAAUAUCAGUGUCUUCAAACUUAGUUUUUCUCCCAGAUAUUAGCUCUAGAAGAACCACACCAUAGGAAUAAACAUCUGACUUUUCAGAUACUCUUUGAGAAUGCUCUGGAUCCGCAUAAACUGGAGUUCCCUUGUUUGAUGUACUGAUGUGAGUGAGGUUACCAGUUUCCGGAAAAAGAAGAGCAAGUCCAAAAUCUGCUACCUUU
RNAcentral lists this unclassified non-coding RNA (231 nucleotides) under Hevea brasiliensis (rubber tree). The record is from RNAcentral. Lineage: Eukaryota; Viridiplantae; Streptophyta; Magnoliopsida; Malpighiales; Euphorbiaceae.